CCGGGCCAAGCCCGUGGUUUUUUUGGGAUGGACGCCGGGUCGUCUGGCUCGGCUUGAUAAGGAAAGGGGAAGGGGAAGGGGAGGAGGUGCCGUCGAAGAGGGGGGAGGAGGAGCGGCCGCCGAGGGAGGUGGUCGUGGUGGCCGGGGCGGCGGCGCUACGAGGCCGAGGCGAGGAGGCGGGCGGACGAGGCGUUCGACACGCUCCGCAGGGCCGGCGACCCCGCGCCGCUCCAGGGUUCUCACGGCGGCGACGGCUGCUACUGCGCCGCCGAGAGGCCGCGUCGGAGGCGGCGCGCGAGCUGGAGCGAGGACGUGGGCGACGGCCCCGAGCUGGAGGGCGGGACGGAGGGGCUGGUCGAGGGGGCGGAGGGGUGGGCGCAGUGGUGCGAGGGGUUGCCGCAGGCGCAGCGGAGGCUCCUGCAGGGCCCAGGGUGCCGCACGCACCCCCACAAGCACCGCAGCCCGAGCUAGGUGCUCAGCGGGCUCAGGCGGCCGCAGUGCGUGGACGACCUCUUCGACCGCAAGUUCCUGUGCCGCGUGGCCUCGGUGGCCGUCUAGCACGUCCUCCACCUCCGGUGCCCCCCGUUGUAGCCGCGGAGGCGGAGGUCCCUCGUCUACCAGAUGUCGAUGCUGUGCGAGUUCCGGAUGUAAGGCGUCCGGCAGCUCCACGAGGAGCUGAGGCAGGCGUUGGGCGAGAAGCAGGUCCUGCUUCAGCUGUCCGUCGACCGGGAAUGGGCUCUUCUCCAGGUGCCCCACGUCUUCUUGGGCCUCUUCAAGGAAGUCCUUCAUGAAUUGGAACGACCUAUGCUCCCCCGCGAGCGCUUGGGCGACUAUCGAGGGCUCCUCCGAGAACUCUAGUAGUUACGGCUAUAAUAAGCCUUCAAGAUAGUACUUUUGAAGUGACGACUAGCACACCAAGAUCGUCGCAGUCCACAACUAGUAGUUGUCAACAAUCUACAGCGUCUUGGAAACAACAGACUAACCGUGUUCCCCAGGGGAUACCUUUGUGGUUUCAGAUGCAUGUGUCCACCACUAAAGUCUAUGUUUCGUCUUAGUCUAUACUGUGUACAGCGCAACCGAAAACUUCACGGUCCGCCGACCGAAUUUCUCUCUCUCCGAUGUUAAUACUGGCAGUAUGUCUGGAAUUACCCACCACCGCCGAGUAAGAGGAGACCACCAGGACCUUUUCCCUACGUAAGUGCCGAAAUGGACUCUCAAGAUUGAUUUAUAGUGCCGCAGGUUAGUAAAAGUCGUAAGUCAUUACAUAUACUAUUGUGACCGGACAAACCGUAGAUAAACUGUUGCGGUGGUCUAAAACAAAGUUUCCGACAACAAUAGCGCCACGUCCUUAACUAGCGAUAACGUUGCGGACCUGUUCACUGCCUCCAACUCGACUGUGCACGCUUUUUGAGCUGCUAAAGUAGGCACGAUUACUUAGAACUUAGCUCCCAUUAACAACGUCUUCUAUAUCCCUCCGUCGAAAACUGAAUACCAUCGUCCUUUGGGUAACUAGUAAAAGAAGUCACGUACCUCCUUGACUGGGAUCUACUGCAAUGUCGCAAACGAUUCUACUACAAUAGAAGGGUUGGAUGUUACCGAUCGAUACCUCUACAGUUAUUUCAAGGCGGCAUACUUAAAUAAUCGUACGACGAGGUUGCCAAGGCUAUCGUGGGAUUGUGGUACUAGGGACCACUUCUGCUUCUGUGUCUCGAGAGAAGGUCAAGAGGGAUUAUGAACCGCAACACGAGCCUUAAAAAGAAACAAAAUGAGCACGCACUUGCUCCAAUCAAAACAUAACCGCAUCAAGUUUGUCGCGUACGACUACUUUACAGAACCCAUCUGUCCUUUUGUUAAAAGAACUUCGAACAUACCUUUAAAACGGGACGGUUAGAUAUACCAGAGCAACGGUACAUUUUAAAAGUCAUGCACACGACUCAAAGUACUACUAUUAUAUAUAGUUACCACUGAAAAUACCGGAGUUUAUUCUUAUUACCAAUGACC
Molecule: ribosomal RNA, 2001 nt
Filed under: Triticum aestivum (bread wheat)
Lineage: Eukaryota; Viridiplantae; Streptophyta; Magnoliopsida; Poales; Poaceae
Description: partial small subunit ribosomal RNA
Source: RNAcentral